UGAAGAUGAGCACUCAAGAGCAACGCUAGGUAAGUAACCAAGCAAAGGUUGCAGGCAAUCAGUUCUUGAUCGGACGUUUAAUUUCAGGUUCCGACUGAUUGCUUCCCUUCUCCUUGUUCUGCAGGCAAGAGCAAGGGCAAGGGAAAUGAUGGGGGGAAAGCAUGAUAUGAGAUACCUUUGCUUUCGACCCUAAUGAUAUGAGAUACUUUUGCUUUUGAAGAAGUAGCGGACAACCAGCACAUGCAUUUGUUGCGCCUGUCUCCACAUGCUUCGAUGCAUCAUCU
Molecule: long non-coding RNA, 284 nt
Filed under: Malus domestica (apple)
Lineage: Eukaryota; Viridiplantae; Streptophyta; Magnoliopsida; Rosales; Rosaceae
Description: long non-coding RNA (MDOM_LNC014017)
Source: RNAcentral